GUGGGUGCUUCCUGGAAUGGCGAAGCUAGGCAGUUUUGCCAGAAGUCGUUGCUGUGAGCAUCAGGGUUCAGAGUUGAGUCUUCAACACCAGACCUCUGCGAUGGGCUUCCGGAUUCGAGGCCCCGUCCCUUUCUCAGAAGUAUAUAGAAAGCUGCAUGGUGAAAUGAAUGGUGUCUGUUCCACUUCACAGUUUAUACCCAGCAUCUAACUCAGGACUUGGCACAUCACAGGAGCCUAAUAAAUAUCUG
This 248-nucleotide long non-coding RNA is filed under the name Homo sapiens (human). RNAcentral describes it as "non-protein coding LINC02385:5". The record is from RNAcentral. Lineage: Eukaryota; Metazoa; Chordata; Mammalia; Primates; Hominidae.